Molecule: long non-coding RNA, 376 nt
Organism: Pan troglodytes (chimpanzee)
Lineage: Eukaryota; Metazoa; Chordata; Mammalia; Primates; Hominidae
Exons: 3
Source: RefSeq, a predicted model, not a curated record
GAACAGCCUGUUCCAUUCUUGAGCAAUACACAGAGCCCAGGGAUGUGGUGCAAUACUACAGAGGAGAAAUUAAGUAAAAAUCUACUCCCAAAACAAAGGAAGUCAAGUAAGGAAAAGAUGAGGAAUUUAGGAAACUGAGGAUCCAAACCAGAAGACAGGCGGUAAAGCUUCCCAGGAUGAAGGUGAAGAGUCAUCCCAGAAAACACUAUGAAGUGAGCCUGUGGAUCUACCCAUUCAGAAGAGGCAUUUCUAAGGACAAAAAGACUGAGGCUGAGAGAAUAUCCAAUAUGCAGCUGUUCUCUUAGUUACAUUGGCAGAUUGUGUGUUGUCAAUGUUGACUAUUGCUUAGGGAACCAGAGUAUAUCAGUGCAUAGCC